This 510-nucleotide ribosomal RNA is filed under the name uncultured Glomus. RNAcentral's name for it is "SSU rRNA". It matches the Rfam family "Eukaryotic small subunit ribosomal RNA", at positions 569 to 1081 of the family's 1831-position model. Lineage: Eukaryota; Fungi; Glomeromycota; Glomeromycetes; Glomerales; Glomeraceae. The record is from RNAcentral.
AGCAGCCGCGGUAAUUCCAGCUCCAAUAGCGUAUAUUAAAGUUGUUGCAGUUAAAAAGCUCGUAGUUGAAUUUCGGGGUCAGUAGGUUGGUCGUGCCACUGGUAUGUACUGGCUUCACUGAUUCCUCCUUCCUGAUGAGCCGUAAUGCCAUUAAUUUGGUGUUGCGAGGAAUCUGGACUGUUACUUUGAAAAAAUUAGAGUGUUUAAAGCAAGCUAACGCUUGAAUACAUUAGCAUGGAAUAAUGAAAUAGGACGUUCGAUCCUAUUUUGUUGGUUUCUAGGAUUGACGUAAUGAUUAAUAGGGAUAGUUGGGGGCAUUAGUAUUCAAUUGUCAGAGGUGAAAUUCUUGGAUUUAUUGAAGACUAACUACUGCGAAAGCAUUUGCCAAGGAUGUUUUCAUUAAUCAAGAACGAAAGUUAGGGGAUCGAAGACGAUCAGAUACCGUCGUAGUCUUAACCAUAAACUAUGCCGACUAGGGAUCGGAUGAUGUUAAUUUUUAAUGACUCAUUC